ACAACAACAGGUGGUGAACAGACAGAUCAUGAAAUGGUUGGACUGUGAAGCCACUCAGACAUCCAAGAAUCAACAGAACUGUACACAGUCACCUGGGCAAGAAAACCCACAGUGAGGCUGGGAGCCAAAGACUGGCCCCCCCUCUUGGCCCACAACCUCCCAUCAGUCACCAGGUUCUUAAGAUGGUGUAUCUACAAACCACUCCAGGUUCAGAUUUCAGCCUCCUCAGAGCAAACUCCAGAACCAGAUGCUUUAUUACCAGACUGUGCAGAGUCCCUCAUCAUGUUAAAGUCGGAGGCCCCCAGUGUUCCCAGUUUGCCACCUGACCGGCACCAACAGACCACAGCCCCACACAAGGCGACGGCUUAAUGAGAGCUGUUUUUAGCAGGGACGGGACAUCAACACUGAUCUAAUCACUAAAACAUGAGAUCAGUGCUGUGACCCAAUCACAAAACAGGACACAGGCGUGUAUCCCAGCAUGCUCGGCCAGUGUGUGUCCGUGCAUCACAAGCGAGGUCGGAUCCAAAGGGGACCGGAGCUAAAGACACGCAACAGUUCGGGUUGUCGGAGGGUAAAGUGGGUCAAAACAUAAGCACGAUCAAAUGUCCCCACAUGACACACAGAGCUGUGAUCACACGCCUGGUGCAGAAGCUGCAGAAGGAACACGGAUCUAAACUCAGCCGGAACUGAACGAGCGGUUUCCAACAUGAGGCUCGGGGCUCUGAACGGGCCCAAGUGAGGAGUCUCAAGUAGGAAAGGACGAAGAAUAGUUUCCAUUGACAAAUUCCAGAUUGUUACCAUACGAUGAUUGAAAUGAGGUGAUCUAACCGGCAUGUAUGAAGCACUGAAGCGAAGAUUUUGUUUGUUUGUGGUUCGCAUAUCUCGAGAACCCGUCACUCGAUCUACUUCACACUCGGCAGGUUUGUUGCCGAGGUCAUUCGGAAGUGCAGCGUCGAAUUUGGUGCAAUUUGAACAUGUGAAACGCUCGAUAUUAAAACAUCUCGAAUAAACACCGCUCUGGCUUCGUGGCUGUGCAGAUUGAUGCAGGGCUCACAUAUGAUCCCUCUCACGUGAUCUCAGGAUGAAGAAGCAGGCAUGAAUAAAAUGGAGAUUAGCGCGGUGCAACACCACGCUGUGGCAGAGGGUUUAACGAGUCUGGAUGAGCGGGGAGACGCCGUCAACACAGGUUUUCUGAUCUUCAGCGAGAACCGGAGGAGGCCUGCAGAGUUAAGAGCCUCCAACAUAAGCUGUGGCAGCAGGGGGCAACACUGACAGAUCUGCCCUCUCUGGUGAGCUCCAGCUGAUUUCCAUUAUCACGACUGUACUGCCAUCUUCUGGUUCAAGCAGGACAAUGACAAAUACUGGAGAGAAUCACUAGACCUGCUGUGUGGCCUCAAAAACAAAGUAUGCGCUUCGUAAGGUCACAACAAAAUGUUGAAUAUCGUCAGAGAGAAAAACUCAAGAGGAUGUUUAUGCCAGCGGUAGAAAGUUUAGGUUUGUGUUAUUUUCUUGAAGAGUGUCUCAGAUUUGUCUCCAUUAUCUAAUUUAAUUUAAUCAGGGACGAGGAACAGACUUUCAGACUCUUCUCCAAAAAUAGUCAUUCAAACAAUAAUUGACAGUUCACAUUUUAAUCAGUGUUACUUUCAGUUUAUGAUAUUGAUUUUACCUAUGUCUUAAAUUAUGACUAACAUCAGAAGGUCACAUGUUCACUUCCCCUGGUAAGAUAUUAAACCCCAAACUGUGCUGGUCAGCAUCUUGCAUUAACAUGAAUGUAUGAAUAACUAUAUCUUGCUCUAAUUUAAGUUGCUGAAAAAGGUCUUGCUUUUUGAGUUUACUCACCACAUGUCUUGUAUCUCAAGGACACUGACAUGCAGAUGGAGGGAGCAAGAUUUGAACCAGCAACCCUCUGAUUAUUAGACGACCACGCUACCUCCUGAGCUACAGCUGCCAUGAAAGAGUCUGUUAAUGAUAAUAAAUAACCUCCAGGUCUCAUAAAACAAUGAAACAUAGCCACUGUCCCAUUAUGAUUUCCAACAGCUCUGUGUGACGUCUGUAAUUGUACAGUUUGACCGACAGUCCAGAACCGGCAAAAUCAAACUUUCUAUUGAGAUUAUAAUGCAGAAAAAGAGCUUGGAGUCAUUUAUAAUUGUUGCAAUUCCUGGUGAAGUUUUCAGCUUCAGUUCACUGGUGUCAAUAAAGUUUAUUGUUAAAAUAACUUCCCUCCAUAACAUGACUGUCAACUGUGUUUAGCAACUCAAUU
Long non-coding RNA from Acanthopagrus latus (yellowfin seabream), 2260 nucleotides. RefSeq lists it as uncharacterized. The transcript is spliced from 4 exons. NCBI's taxonomy places the organism in Eukaryota, Metazoa, Chordata, Actinopteri, Spariformes, Sparidae. The record is from RefSeq and is a predicted model, not a curated record.